This 272-nucleotide ribosomal RNA is filed under the name uncultured bacterium. RNAcentral's name for it is "partial 16S ribosomal RNA". It matches the Rfam family "Bacterial small subunit ribosomal RNA", at positions 524 to 794 of the family's 1533-position model. The record is from RNAcentral.
UACGUAGGUGGCGAGCGUUAUCCGGAUUUAUUGGGUUUAAAGGGUGCGUAGGCGGCUUAAUAAGUCGGUGGUCAAAGGUAGCAGCUUAACUGUUUUACAUGCCACCGAUACUGUUGAGCUUGAGAUAUGUGGAGGCAGAUGGAAUUUCCGGUGUAGCGGUGAAAUGCAUAGAUACCGGAAGGAACUCCUAUUGCGAAGGCAAUCUGCUACAGAUAAACUGACGCUGAUGCACGAAAGCGUGGGGAUCAAACAGGAUUAGAUACCCGGGUAGU